UAUCAUCUUAGUUCUGAGACGGCACAGACCCUGCUCUGCCUUCGUCACGCAGAGAGAAACGGCUGGCAGCAGCAGACGGUUACCUUUGCAUGAGGCUGCCAGGAACAAACAAGCAGUGAGUGGAGCAAUUCCGAAUGGGGAUCAUUUCUCUCAGUGGGAAAAAAGAAACUAUUUUGACCAAAUGGAGAACAAGUUUUCAUGAACUGAUGAUGUCAACUCUUUAAACAUCUGGAAACCUGUGCAUCUCUGAACAAGUAAAGCAUGGACCAUUCUCAGAAGUCUCCUCUAAGAUCAGUAGAUGAGUUACGACUGGAGUCCUGUUCCUUAGUGAAUCUACCUUCAUACUUGACAUCUGGCUCAGGAAGCAAGUGUAAAAAGUUCCGAAGGACAAUAAAGUAUGUCACAAAGUUGCCAAUUUGUCAAAAUUUUGUGGACUCUCCUCUUAUGUCAGUUUAUGUUAUUAGGCAUUGUAAGUACAAUUCUGUAAUACUGUUUUGAACUUUAGCAUAUCUUAAUAAAAUGUUUUAGCAUAAUUAACAUAUUCUUGAGACAGAAAAUUUGCUAUUGUGUUUAGUCACCCUCAUCACUCUCCUUGGCAAUUUGUGCUCUAUCACAGAAACAAAUUCUAUUUUCCUGAUUGAUGUGCACUUAGUGGUUUCAAGCCUGUCCCCAUGCAAGCCCAAGUGGAUGGAAUGUCUUUGUGAGGCAUAGGAAAGGGUGGAUGCAUUGGAAAUUAACACCCCAACCAAGAUGCUGUAAUCUUAUCUUGGAGACCAGUGUGAGGACACAGUAAUUACAGCCUUUGUGUUAUUGUAACAGUGGAGGAGGUUGGAAUCGGGAGUAGAGGCAGAGGAAACACUGGGCAGUGGGCAUAAGAAGUUAAGAACUGUAGUAAGUGACAGAAAUCCAUUUCAGUCUGGUUUAAUUCCCUUGAAACUGACAUGAGAUGACUGUUGACUCAUUUGAGAUGGUGUCUUAUGUAGCCCAGGCUUACCUCAAAUUUAUUGUGUAUCAAAUCACACUGAUGUUGAAAGCACAAGGCAGCUUGUGAACAAUCUUACCACACCCAAACAUGGAAACAAGUCCAUAGUACCUAAAACAAAACAUUGAUAAUACUUAAUAUUAUAUACCAAAGUUUAAAUUAUCAGUGAAUCCAUACACAUAAAAAUAACUCACUCAAGAAAUAAGAACACACAUAAUAAAAAAAGAUGAACAUCUCCCAUAUGAGAAUUUUGAAUGCAUGCCCACAUUUCAUCCAAAAGAAU
Peromyscus californicus insignis is the source of this 1265-nucleotide long non-coding RNA. RefSeq lists it as uncharacterized. NCBI's taxonomy places the organism in Eukaryota, Metazoa, Chordata, Mammalia, Rodentia, Cricetidae. The record is from RefSeq and is a predicted model, not a curated record. The transcript is spliced from 4 exons.